This 371-nucleotide ribosomal RNA is filed under the name uncultured organism. RNAcentral describes it as "bacterial SSU rRNA". It matches the Rfam family "Bacterial small subunit ribosomal RNA", at positions 526 to 896 of the family's 1533-position model. The record is from RNAcentral.
CAGAGGGUGCGAGCGUUAAUCGGAAUUACUGGGCGUAAAGCGUGCGUAGACGGUUAUUUAAGUCGGGUGUGAAAGCCCCGGGCUCAACCUGGGAAUUGCAUUCGAGACUGAAUAGCUAGGGUACGGUAGAGGGAAGCGGAAUUUCCGGUGUAGCGGUGAAAUGCGUAGAUAUCGGAAGGAACAUCAGUGGUGAAAGCGGCUUCCUGGACCAGUACCGACGUUCAGGCACGAAAGCGUGGGGAGCAAACAGGAUUAGAUACCCUGGUAGUCCACGCCAUAAACGAUGAGGACUAGACGUUGGAGGGGUAAGCCUUUCAGUGUCGUAGCUAACGCGCUAAGUCCUCCGCCUGGGGAGUACGGCCGCAAGGUUG